Globicephala melas (long-finned pilot whale) is the source of this 3450-nucleotide long non-coding RNA. RefSeq lists it as uncharacterized. The record is from RefSeq and is a predicted model, not a curated record. Lineage: Eukaryota; Metazoa; Chordata; Mammalia; Artiodactyla; Delphinidae.
UGUCCCAGAAGAGCCCACCCCCGGCUCCCCGGCGGCCCAGGUACCGCCGCGCCCCGCCCCUUGCCCCGCCCCGCGCUCGAGGAGCCCCGCUUCCCGGCGGCCCCUGGCGGCUGAGGAGGCGCUGCGGCGCGUAGCCGGGAGCGCCGGGAGAGCGAGGGAAGGGGCUUGGCGAAGGGCCCCAAAGAUGCCCAGACCUUGGUGGCGCCGGCAGUCCCCCUUAACGUGCCCGGACGUUUCCAAAUGACCCAGAACCGCCAGAACGUCCAGAAAUGCUGGCGGGGUGCAGUGUCCACGGGGUACAACUUUGGAAAAGAUGACGAGAGAGGUGAAGGAAGUAAACUCAAGACCCAAGGAGGAUGAAAGCACGCUAUGCAUGACACCACCACUACAAAGCCCAGAGCCAGAACGGCGUGGAAGGACACUGCUGGCAGGAAAGGCUCCACUCUAUGGGGGCUUCACCCACUCCCAGUACCCUAGAGUGGGACCAGGAUGACCCUGGUGAAGCAGCCACAGGAUGUUCAGUUCUCAGAACAGAAGCCAGGUGGUAUCCGCUUAACCUGGGCUUUGCAGGGUCUGGUGAUGCUCAAGUCUCAGACAGAUCGUUUCUGUCAUCUGUAUAUACAACCUGGAUCGUGAGUGACCAGCCAGCAUAAAGGUACAUGUGACCUUCAAGGACCAGCCAUGUUUGUGCCACAGGCAGGAGGGCUCUAUCCUUUAAUUGCCUGGAAGUUCCAUCCAAAAUCCGAGUCAGCCAACAGUCCAGUCUGUGAGCAGGGCAGUUACAUCUGCAGCACGUGGAGGUGAGCCUGGCCCAACACCAAGCAGACAUCCUGGUACCGCGCGGUUGGAAACAAAGUAGCAAAGGAGGCUCACAGUGCUGCAUGGAAAGGGCCUUCUCGCUGACAGGGCCUUGCUGGGAGGCCCUUACAGAGUACCGAGAUAAUUUUCCCGAAGCAAGGAUGACAUCACUGGCCUGAAGGCGGAUCCAGGCAACUGCCCUAUCUGGGGAACAAUCAUUCCUGCAGCUCUGUCACAGCCAACCCCGUCCCUGGGCUGUGUGUAACCCAGCAACAAGGAUGGACCCGGGGACCAGCUGGAUGAGGAAGGUCUGGAGCUAAACUCUCCAAAGAUGCUCAGCCUUUAAUGGAGGAGGCCUUUUAGAAGAGAUCUGGCAAAUUCUCUGCCCUGGCAACUUCACUUUCUGUUCUCUUUUUAUCUGCUUUCUGUAUUUCCAAUUAAUCUUGGAAUGAGAGCCCAAGGCAAGAAGCCAGCGGUGCCUGAGGAAUGCUAAAGAGCAGACUGAGCCAGGGAAACAAAUGCCAGUGAGGGACCCCACAGCAAAGAGACGGGCACCGUGAGCAGCUCUCCUGUUACCAUGAGGCUUGCGAGGCGUGUGUGCGGGUCUCCGCGUUGGCACCAUCUGCUAGUUCCUCAGGAGGACAGAACAAACCAGUGAGGCGUGGAGAUUAGAUUAUGUAACGCUCGAGGACUGCUGUUUUCAAAGAGGAAACGAAUGGAACGAAUUGAUUUGCUUGUCAGAGUCAUGUCACUAAAGGAGACGCCUUCCCUCCUCUUCCAAGAGGACCUCAUUAAAGAGGGGGACGAUUUUACAGAUUGAGAAAGUAUGAGACCACAGUCGAGUCCAUUCACAAGAGCAAGUCCUAUUUCCAGAAUUGCACUGAUAAAUCCUCUUCUGGUCCCCUAGCCUGAAAAAAUGACUAUUCAGCCACUACCUAAAAGGUACCAACACGGCAAGAAACAUAACUGCCUGUUGCCAGCCACCAGAUUCAGAACCUUGCGCCUUGCCUGAACUGAACUCUCUUGCUUCUGGGGAAGGAAGCAGCAUCUAAUUUUGAGUCCAGUGGGGUCACAGGUAUAUUCAGACCUCUAAACAAGUGCUUCUGUGAUAGAGUGGGAACGUGUUCUUAAAGUACAUGCAUCAGGAAGGAGAAUUCACUGCAUUUCUGGGAUAAUUUUGUCAUUGCCGGGCUUCUCUCAAAACGCCCAGCAUAAUACUUUUUAUAGAAUGUUCAGUAGAUCCGAAGAACGAACAAAUGAUAACCUUGAACCUACCGCCAAAGGGCCAUUCCUAAAGACACAUUGUCUAAGACACCAAGAUUUAAAUGUCGGGUAUUUAUUCCACUUGGAAAUGAAGCCCGCUGUACCAGAUAUUUUCUAUUUGCCCUUUUUGAUCCACCAUGUAGCCUGGGAUACUCCCCUGUACAGACUCCAUCAACUUGAGCCUCUAGCUUCCAUUUGGGUACAGCCAGUGGGAGGCGACAGCAGCAGCAGACUGGAGGGCAGAAGGGCAGUGAGGGUGAAGUAUUUAUUUCCCUGGUUCUCUCCCUGCCAGAUCGCCUCAGGUUGGUUAUGUCUUUUGAUAAAAGGUCACUGCUCCCUCUCAAGGCAGCCCUUUCCACACAGCUCUCUUUCUGGGUUCCGGAAUUUCUCCCUCCCUUCAACUUUUAGAUCUAGGAAUGGUAAAGACCCCAGCUAUCCCUAGCCCCCUGGGUACUGCACUACCCCUGUGGCUUCCCUACACUCUACCCAAACCUUUGUAAAUAGUCCCUUUAUUAAAACCUCCUCAAGUUAUCUAAUUUGAAUGUACCAUCUGCUUCUUAUACAGAACCUGACUGAUACACCUACCACACAUGUCAGUCUGUUCCAGGCCCUGCACCACAGUUUAAAAAAAAAAAGCAAAAUUAAUAAUACGAUAUGCUACUACUUUAUAGUUAUUCUCCAUGUUCACCUUUUCACAAGGCUAUGAUAACAACUUAAAGAUAACACCUAAUUCUUCCUUACAACAUAAUUGUGCAGUAGUGUUUGUAUGAGCUAAAUAUAAUUCGAGAACAAGCUUUUUCAUGCCAUCAAAAUUCAUGUGAACAACUAUGAAGAGAGAGUUGCAGAACUGAUGCCCCCGACUUGAGGUUUAGCAGAAGAUUUAUCCCAAUAUUUAAAUCAACCACGCAGAUAUUCAAAUGCCUACUACGUGGCCAGAAAGAUGGAAAUCUUACAGUGAGGAAUAACAUCGCUACGGGCUCUGACAUGGUGAAAUGCGGUCUUGUUUUAUGCUGUAAAUGUGUUCCUAAAAAGUUGAAUAGAGAUUGUAUUUCCAUAAAUCAGAGAAUAUGUUGUAUGAUCAGGGGGACCUCACUAUUUGAAUAAUAAUUUGGUAAAAUAAUCAGCCUUUGAUCUUUUGAACCAAUUCUGUUUUUUCAUCCAUCUAAAGUACUUCAAAUGAAAUUUAUCUUUAGUCUGUAGGGAGGAUUGGUCUCCUUCCGUGCUCUUGGAAUAGCAGAAAUUGUGAAAUGGAAUUCAGAGGAAAGAUAAGGGAACUACCAUUUAUAGACCACACACAGAAUGCUAGGCAAUUUGCAUCUGUUAGCACAUUUAAUCCUGGAGGUAAAUGCAUAUUCUACCAUUCCCUUAUUUUCUCCUUCUGAAAAAUAA